Molecule: ribosomal RNA, 497 nt
Filed under: uncultured bacterium
Lineage: Bacteria
Description: partial 16S ribosomal RNA
Rfam family: Bacterial small subunit ribosomal RNA
Source: RNAcentral
GAUGAACGCUGGCGGCGUGCCUAAUACAUGCAAGUCGAGCGAACAGACGAGGAGCUUGCUCCUCUGACGUUAGCGGCGGACGGGUGAGUAACACGUGGAUAACCUACCUAUAAGACUGGGAUAACUUCGGGAAACCGGAGCUAAUACCGGAUAAUAUAUUGAACCGCAUGGUUCAAUAGUGAAAGACGGUUUUGCUGUCACUGAUAGAUGGAUCCGCGCCGCAUUAGCUAGUUGGGAAGGUAACGGCUUACCAAGGCAACGAUGCGUAGCCGACCUGAGAGGGUGAUCGGCCAGACUGGAACUGAGACACGGUCCAGACUCCUACGGGAGGCAGCAGUAGGGAAUCUUCCGCAAUGGGCGAAAGCCUGACGGAGCAACGCAGCGUGAGUGAUGAAGGUCUUCGGAGCGUAAAACUCUGUUAUUAGGGAAGAACAAAUGUGUAAGUAACUAUGCACGUCUUGACGGUACCUAAUCAGAAAGCAACGGCUAACUACGUG